UAGAGGCCAACAACAGAACUUUAAAUACACUUCUGAGAAGUUUUGAGGCGAGAAGUCAACUUUGUAGAUUUCGAAUAUCAGCAGUUUUACAAAAAUUGACGGCUAAUCGAAAAUGUGUUCAAAUGUUUUCGGAGUUGAGAAGCUCCGACGGGUGUCAAUAUUAUAUAGCUGCAGUUAUGUUACCGGAGGCUGCACAGCACGGCCUUACGGCAACGUGCUAGCAGAUAGGGUUAACCAGUCGACAUGCAUACAAUCAAUAACUUAAGGCAUUCACCCCUGUGAUGGUUAGGGUAAGAUUAAUAUUCUUCGGGGGGCUGUCAGGAAUAGCUAGCUUGCCGGCAGCCGGUUAGCUCCCCCAGGCCCAGUCACACAGACCGCUGCGGCCAACAUAGCAGACAUGUCCAGCAACAGCUGAACGAUAGUGUUCGUACCGUUAUUCUAGCAUUGAAUUAUCAGUAAUGUAAAGUUUUAACCUAAAUCAAGUUACAUCUGGCUCGUGAUGUACAGAAUAUUCUUGGCUGCAGCUGGACACUUCUCGGACUGGACAUUACUUUGAGAAAAGAAAGCGAGGAAGUUGAACUACCUGCUGUUCAAUGACCUGGUUUGUGGUCAUCCUGCUGGAGAUACGAACUUUAGUUGGAGUACCAAAGGACGGAGUGAAGAUAGAGGUCUGUAGAAAACAACGAGAUAUUUGGUGAGCUACAGCACAGAUGGGAGUGAGAGAAAAAGUGAGACAUAUGGAAAGGGAGAGGAGAAUUGAGCUUGGCAGGAAGAACAUUUUAAACCUACCUUAUAGUUAUAGAAGUGUCCAUUGAUAGAAAAGCGAUGUUGUCUAACUUUCUCUCUUUGUGCUGCUGACAUGCCCCUCCCCUUCCUCCUCUUGACCAAUGAGGCGUCACUCAUACAGCGAAACAGGUUGGACUCCGCCUCCAGCUCUAAGUUCUUACGCCUCACAUGACGCAGUGUGGUGGUCUCAUAAACAACUGGGCCUUUGGAGUGUGCAGAAACACAUGACUAAAAUGUCUCAUAUUCAACAUGUGUUACACUAUUUUCUUGUUUCAUUUUUGCGAAACCAAACAGAAAAAUAAAUCACGAUUGUAUGUGAAAAAUGAGGUUUCAAAACAAUCAAUGAGUUGAUUGCAUGUCUUUGAAAGAAAAAGAAACAUUAUGGAAAAUAAAAACCAACCUGGUAAAGGA
Micropterus dolomieu (smallmouth bass) is the source of this 1197-nucleotide long non-coding RNA. RefSeq lists it as uncharacterized. The transcript is spliced from 3 exons. The record is from RefSeq and is a predicted model, not a curated record. NCBI's taxonomy places the organism in Eukaryota, Metazoa, Chordata, Actinopteri, Centrarchiformes, Centrarchidae.